RNAcentral lists this ribosomal RNA (587 nucleotides) under uncultured bacterium. Its description in RNAcentral is "bacterial SSU rRNA". It matches the Rfam family "Bacterial small subunit ribosomal RNA", at positions 338 to 944 of the family's 1533-position model. The record is from RNAcentral.
CCUACGGGAGGCAGCAGUGGGGAAUAUUGGACAAUGGGCGAAAGCCUGAUCCAGCAAUGCCGCGUGAGUGAUGAAGGCCUUCGGGUCGUAAAGCUCUUUUACCAGGGAUGAUAAUGACAGUACCUGGAGAAUAAGCUCCGGCUAACUCCGUGCCAGCAGCCGCGGUAAUACGGAGGGAGCUAGCGUUGUUCGGAAUUACUGGGCGUAAAGAGUACGUAGGCGGUUAUUCAAGUCAGAGGUGAAAGCCCGGGGCUCAACCCCGGAACUGCCUUUGAAACUAGAUAACUAGAGUCUUGGAGAGGUUAGUGGAAUUCCGAGUGUAGAGGUGAAAUUCGUAGAUAUUCGGAAGAACACCAGUGGCGAAGGCGACUAACUGGACAAGUACUGACGCUGAGGUACGAAAGCGUGGGGAGCAAACAGGAUUAGAUACCCUGGUAGUCCACGCCGUAAACGAUGAUAACUAGUUGUUCGGUCACUUGGUGACUGAGUGACGCAGCUAACGCAUUAAGUUAUCCGCCUGGGGAGUACGGUCGCAAGNUUAAAACUCAAAGAUAUGCGNGNGAGNGCGACGACGACGACGAGAGGAG